UGGGGAAUAUUGCACAAUGGGCGAAAGCCUGAUGCAGCCAUGCCGCGUGUGUGAAGAAGGCCUUAGGGUUGUAAAGCACUUUCAGCGAGGAGGAAAGGUUGUUAGUUAAUACCUGACAGCUGUGACGUUACUCGCAGAAGAAGCACCGGCUAACUCCGUGCCAGCAGCCGCGGUAAUACGGAGGGUGCGAGCGUUAAUCGGAAUUACUGGGCGUAAAGCGUGCGUAGGCGGCUACUUAAGUUGGAUGUGAAAGCCCCGGGCUCAACCUGGGAACUGCAUCCAAAACUGGGUGGCUAGAGUGCGAGAGAGGAGUGUGGAAUUUCCUGUGUAGCGGUGAAAUGCGUAGAUAUAGGAAGGAACACCAGUGGCGAAGGCGACACUCUGGCUUGACACUGACGCUGAGGUACGAAAGCGUGGGGAGCAAACAGGAUUAGAUACCCUGGUAGUCCACGCCGUAAACGAUGUCUACUAGUUGUCCGUUGUCUUGUACGAUGGGUAACGCAGCUAACGCGAUAAGUAGACCGCCUGGGGAGUACGGCCGCAAGGUUA
RNAcentral lists this ribosomal RNA (549 nucleotides) under uncultured bacterium. Its description in RNAcentral is "bacterial SSU rRNA". It matches the Rfam family "Bacterial small subunit ribosomal RNA", at positions 355 to 896 of the family's 1533-position model. The record is from RNAcentral.